AAGGGGGUCUCUGGUAAGGCCGGGCUCAUAACCCGGAGGUCGGUGGUUCAAAUCCACCCCCCGCUA
RNAcentral lists this transfer RNA (66 nucleotides) under Thermoprotei archaeon. RNAcentral describes it as "tRNA-Met". It matches the Rfam family "tRNA". Rfam says of the family: Transfer RNA (tRNA) molecules are approximately 80 nucleotides in length. Their secondary structure includes four short double-helical elements and three loops (D, anti-codon, and T loops). Lineage: Archaea; Thermoproteati; Thermoproteota; Thermoprotei. The record is from RNAcentral.